GUGCUUACGAGCAAAUACUCAUAGAACAGUAGUAGUAGUAAGGGAGUGAAAGGGUGAAGCGAGUAUAGAUAAGACAGGGAUGAACGUCAUGUACAUAUAACAGAUAAGUUCCGGGAAAGAGAAUGAACAGACUGAUUUAGGAGAGACAGCUCAGGUGGGGGCUAUCUGCUCCAGGAACUAGACAUAUAUGGUCCUAAGAGUCGUUUUAAGCAUUUUUCAGAGUCCAAG
Pelobates cultripes (western spadefoot toad) is the source of this 228-nucleotide non-coding RNA. The record is from the annotation of a GenBank genome assembly. NCBI's taxonomy places the organism in Eukaryota, Metazoa, Chordata, Amphibia, Anura, Pelobatidae.